Molecule: ribosomal RNA, 236 nt
Filed under: uncultured bacterium
Lineage: Bacteria
Description: partial 16S ribosomal RNA
Rfam family: Bacterial small subunit ribosomal RNA
Source: RNAcentral
UACAGAGGGGGCAAGCGUUAUUCGGAAUUAUUGGGCGUAAAGGGCGCGUAGGCGGCUUGGCAAGUGGAUGGUGAAAUCCCUCGGCUUAACCGAGGAACUGCCGUCCAAACUGCUUCGCUUGAGACCGGGAGAGGUGAGUGGAAUUCCCAGUGUAGCGGUGAAAUGCGUAGAUAUUGGGAGGAACACCAGUGGCGAAGGCGGCUCACUGGACCGGUACUGACGCUGAUGCGCGAAAG